CCAUUCUACAGGUGAUCAUCAAUUUUCGACCAAAUUAGCAUUUUCUUAUUUUACCUCAGUUGACCUUAACCCAAAAGUUUCAAAAGGUAGAACUUUGGAGUAUGUGACAACUCAUCAAACAAACAAACCAUGGAAGGAAAACUUUACUUUUAACCAAAUACAUACCUGGGCUAUGUUAAGACCGCAGGUCAGUUCUGAUUUAUUCUGACAUUUUUAUCAUGUCAAUGUGAACAAUAUGUUAAUUAGGAUGUCAAUGUUGCCUCUCAAAAAAUAA
This is a long non-coding RNA of Hippocampus zosterae (dwarf seahorse), 274 nucleotides long. RefSeq lists it as uncharacterized. The record is from RefSeq and is a predicted model, not a curated record. The transcript has 2 exons. NCBI's taxonomy places the organism in Eukaryota, Metazoa, Chordata, Actinopteri, Syngnathiformes, Syngnathidae.